GAAGGGGGCCAAGCGUUAUUCGGGAAUCAUUGGGCUUAAAGCGCGCGUAGGCGGAAAGUUAAGUGCCUUGUGAAAUCCCUCAGCUCAACUGAGGAACUGCAGGGCAUACUGGCUUUCUUGAGACAAGUAGGGGUGCAUGGAACUCUGGGUGGAGCGGUGAAAUGCGUAGAUAUCCAGAGGAACGCCCGCGGAGAAAUCGGUGCACUGGGCUUGUUCUGACGCUGAGGUGCGAAGGCGUGGGUAGCGAACGGGAUUAGAUACCCCGGUAGUCCACGCCGUAAACGAUGUUUACUAGAUCAUGGGAGUUUUGACGCUUUCGUGGUCGAAGCAAAAGUGCUAAGUAAACCGCCUGGGGAGUACGGUCGCAAAGGCUAA
This 375-nucleotide ribosomal RNA is filed under the name uncultured organism. RNAcentral describes it as "partial 16S ribosomal RNA". It matches the Rfam family "Bacterial small subunit ribosomal RNA", at positions 526 to 897 of the family's 1533-position model. The record is from RNAcentral.